AACGAACGCUGGCGGCAUGCCUAACACAUGCAAGUCGAACGAACCCUUCGGGGUUAGUGGCGCACGGGUGCGUAACACGUGGGAAUCUGCCCUUUGCUUCGGAAUAACAGUUAGAAAUGACUGCUAAUACCGGAUGAUGUCGUAAGACCAAAGAUUUAUCGGCAAAGGAUGAGCCCGCGUAGGAUUAGGUAGUUGGUGGGGUAAAGGCCUACCAAGCCGACGAUCCUUAGCUGGUCUGAGAGGAUGAUCAGCCACACUGGGACUGAGACACGGCCCAGACUCCUACGGGAGGCAGCAGUGGGGAAUAUUGGACAAUGGGCGAAAGCCUGAUCCAGCAAUGCCGCGUGAGUGAUGAAGGCCUUCGGGUUGUAAAGCUCUUUUACCUAGGGAGUGAUAAUGACAGUACCUGGAGAAUAAGACUCCGGCUAACUCCGUGCCAGCAGCCGCGGUAAU
This 453-nucleotide ribosomal RNA is filed under the name uncultured bacterium. RNAcentral describes it as "bacterial SSU rRNA". It matches the Rfam family "Bacterial small subunit ribosomal RNA", at positions 29 to 524 of the family's 1533-position model. The record is from RNAcentral.